This 128-nucleotide ribosomal RNA is filed under the name uncultured eukaryote. Its description in RNAcentral is "partial small subunit ribosomal RNA". It matches the Rfam family "Eukaryotic small subunit ribosomal RNA", at positions 1651 to 1776 of the family's 1831-position model. The record is from RNAcentral.
CCCUGCCCUUUGUACACACCGCCCGUCGCUACUACCGAUUGAAUGGCUUAGUGAGGCCUCCGGAUUGGCUAUUGGGAUCUCGCGAGAGAACCUGACUGCUGAGAAGUUGUACGAACUUGGUCAUUUAG